CUCAAAGGAAUUGACGGGGACCCGCACAAGCGGUGGAUGAUGUGGAUUAAUUCGAUGCAACGCGAAAAACCUUACCUACCCUUGACAUGUGCCGAAUCCUGAAGAGAUUUGGGAGUGCUCGAAAGAGAGCGGCAACACAGGUGCUGCAUGGCUGUCGUCAGCUCGUGUCGUGAGAUGUUGGGUUAAGUCCCGCAACGAGCGCAACCCUUGCCAUUAGUUGCUACGAAAGGGCACUCUAAUGGGACUGCCGGUGACAAACCGGAGGAAGGUGGGGAUGACGUCAAGUCCUCAUGGCCCUUAUGGGUAGGGCUUCACACGUCAUACAAUGGUGCAUACAGAGGGCUGCCAAGUCGUGAGACGGAGCAAAUCCCAGAAAGUGCAUCGUAGUCCGGAUUGAAGUCUGCAACUCGACUUCAUGAAGUUGGAAUCGCUAGUAAUCGCGGAUCAGCAUGUCGCGGUGAAUACGUUCCCGGGUCUUGUACACACCGCCCGUCACACCAUGGAG
This 505-nucleotide ribosomal RNA is filed under the name uncultured beta proteobacterium Kmlps6-1. Its description in RNAcentral is "bacterial SSU rRNA". It matches the Rfam family "Bacterial small subunit ribosomal RNA", at positions 900 to 1409 of the family's 1533-position model. Lineage: Bacteria; Pseudomonadati; Pseudomonadota; Betaproteobacteria. The record is from RNAcentral.